This 227-nucleotide unclassified non-coding RNA is filed under the name Hevea brasiliensis (rubber tree). Lineage: Eukaryota; Viridiplantae; Streptophyta; Magnoliopsida; Malpighiales; Euphorbiaceae. The record is from RNAcentral.
AGGCAAGUCUGGAAGGCGUAAGAGUGGUGCUGUGGAUUUUGAUGCUUUGAGGCAACAUGGCUAUAAAGGUGGACUGUCUGUCCUGAGUAUGCCCCCACCAAAAGAUGACACACCACAAGACUGGUCUUGGUCUACUGGCAAAGAACAUCGAGAGGUCAAGGAGGUUGAAGAAUCUUAUGAAGAACGACAAAAAACCAGAGCUGCAAUAAUGGAUGGUGAGCAACUGA